RNAcentral lists this ribosomal RNA (356 nucleotides) under Photorhabdus sp. RNAcentral's name for it is "bacterial SSU rRNA". It matches the Rfam family "Bacterial small subunit ribosomal RNA", at positions 132 to 480 of the family's 1533-position model. The record is from RNAcentral. Lineage: Bacteria; Pseudomonadati; Pseudomonadota; Gammaproteobacteria; Enterobacterales; Morganellaceae.
GAGGGCGGGGGAUAACCACUGGAAACGGUGGCUAAUACCGCAUAAUGUCGCGAGACCAAAGUGGGGGACCUGAAAGGGCCUCACGCCGUCGGAUGAACCCAGAUGGGAUUAGCUGGUAGGUAGGGUAAUGGCCUACCUAGGCGACGAUCUCUAGCUGGUCUGAGAGGAUGACCAGCCACACUGGGACUGAGACACGGCCCAGACUCCUACGGGAGGCAGCAGUGGGGAAUAUUGCACAAUGGGCGCAAGCCUGAUGCAGCCAUGCCGCGUGUAUGAAGAAGGCCUUCGGGUUGUAAAGUACUUUCAGCGGGGAGGGAAGGGUUUAGCCUGAAGAGGGCUGGACUUUGACGUAACCC